RNAcentral lists this ribosomal RNA (366 nucleotides) under uncultured eukaryote. Its description in RNAcentral is "partial 18S ribosomal RNA". It matches the Rfam family "Eukaryotic small subunit ribosomal RNA", at positions 592 to 976 of the family's 1831-position model. The record is from RNAcentral.
CAAUAGCGUAUAUUAACGUUGUUGCAGUUAAAAAGCUCGUAGUGGGAUUUCUGGAGGGAGCGUCGGCCCGUAUUUACGAGUGCGUGACGUCUCUGUCCAUCCUUGCGGGAAGGCACGGCAUUGAUUUGUUGUGUCGGAUCGCAUCAUUUACUGUGAAAAAAUUAGAGUGUUCAAAGCAGGCUUUCGCUUGAAUACAUUAGCAUGGAAUAAUAAGAUAGGACUUUGGUGCUAUUUUGUUGGUUGAGCCUAAAGUAAUGAUUAAUAGGGAUAGUUGGGGGCACCUGUAUUGCGUUGUCAGAGGUGAAAUUCUUGGAUUUACGCAAGACAAACAGCUGCGAAAGCGUCUGCCAAGGAUGUUUUCAUUAA